AGGAGGGCAAUUUUAUGACUUUCACGGUCUGUAUCCCGAGAAUCUCGGUAGUAUAUAGCCUGGCCAAUGUCAUGGAGUUGCUCUCUACA
Molecule: microRNA precursor, 89 nt
Filed under: Fasciola hepatica (liver fluke)
Lineage: Eukaryota; Metazoa; Platyhelminthes; Trematoda; Plagiorchiida; Fasciolidae
Description: microRNA fhe-mir-46 precursor
Gene: fhe-mir-46
Source: miRBase by way of RNAcentral